RNAcentral lists this ribosomal RNA (466 nucleotides) under uncultured bacterium. RNAcentral's name for it is "partial 16S ribosomal RNA". It matches the Rfam family "Bacterial small subunit ribosomal RNA", at positions 28 to 507 of the family's 1533-position model. The record is from RNAcentral.
GAUGAACGCUGGCGGCGUGCUUAACACAUGCAAGUCGAACGAUGAAGCCCAGCUUGCUGGGUGGAUUAGUGGCGAACGGGUGAGUAACACGUGAGUAACCUGCCCUUGACUCUGGGAUAAGCCUGGGAAACUGGGUCUAAUACUGGAUAUGACUUCUCAUCGCAUGGUGGGGGGUGGAAAGAUUUAUUGGUCUUGGAUGGACUCGCGGCCUAUCAGCUUGUUGGUGAGGUAAUGGCUCACCAAGGCGACGACGGGUAGCCGGCCUGAGAGGGUGACCGGCCACACUGGGACUGAGACACGGCCCAGACUCCUACGGGAGGCAGCAGUGGGGAAUAUUGCACAAUGGGCGCAAGCCUGAUGCAGCGACGCCGCGUGAGGGAUGACGGCCUUCGGGUUGUAAACCUCUUACAGUAGGGAAGAAGCGAGAGUGACGGUACCUGCAGAAGAAGCGCCGGCUAACUACGUG